This 369-nucleotide ribosomal RNA is filed under the name Terribacillus saccharophilus. RNAcentral describes it as "bacterial LSU rRNA". It matches the Rfam family "Bacterial large subunit ribosomal RNA", at positions 1213 to 1579 of the family's 2925-position model. Lineage: Bacteria; Bacillati; Bacillota; Bacilli; Caryophanales; Bacillaceae. The record is from RNAcentral.
UCUACGAUGUCAGUGGUAGGAGAGCGUUCUAAGGGCAGUGAAGGUCGAUCGUGAGGACGGCUGGAGCGCUUAGAAGUGAGAAUGCCGGUAUGAGUAGCGAAAAAAGAGUGAGAAUCUCUUUCAUCGAAAGCCCAAGGUUUCCUGAGGAAGGCUCGUCCGCUCAGGGUUAGUCGGGGCCUAAGCCGAGGCCGAAAGGCGUAGGCGAUGGAUAACAGGUUGAUAUUCCUGUACCACCUAAAUCCGCUUGAACGAUGGGGGGACGCAGGAGGAUAAGGAAAGCGCGCUGCUGGUUAUGCGCGUCCAAGCCGUGAGGAAGUUGAGCAGGCAAAUCCACUCAACAUUAAUUCAGUCGGUUAUGGGGAGGGAAAU